UACAGAGGGUGCGAGCGUUAAUCGGAAUUACUGGGCGUAAAGCGUGCGUAGCCGGUCAUGUAAGUCGGAUGUGAAAGCCCCGGGCUCAACCUGGGAAUUGCAUUCGAGACUGCAUGGCUUGGGUGCGGAAGAGGGAAGCGGAAUUUCCGGUGUAGCGGUGAAAUGCGCAGAUAUCGGGAAGAACACCCGUGGCGAAGGCGGCUCUCUGGGACGGUACUGACGCUGAGACGCGAAAGCGUGGGGAGCGAACAGG
RNAcentral lists this ribosomal RNA (253 nucleotides) under uncultured bacterium. RNAcentral describes it as "partial 16S ribosomal RNA". It matches the Rfam family "Bacterial small subunit ribosomal RNA", at positions 524 to 776 of the family's 1533-position model. The record is from RNAcentral.